GAUGAACGCUGGCGGCGUGCCUAAUACAUGCAAGUCGAGCGAACAGAUGAGGAGCUUGCUCCUCUGACGUUAGCGGCGGACGGGUGAGUAACACGUGGAUAACCUACCUAUAAGACUGGGAUAACUUCGGGAAACCGGAGCUAAUACCGGAUAAUAUAUUGAACCGCAUGGUUCAAUAGUGAAAGACGGUUUUGCUGUCACUUAUAGAUGGAUCCGCGCCGCAUUAGCUAGUUGGUAAGGUAACGGCUUACCAAGGCAACGAUGCGUAGCCGACCUGAGAGGGUGAUCGGCCACACUGGAACUGAGACACGGUCCAGACUCCUACGGGAGGCAGCAGUAGGGAAUCUUCCGCAAUGGGCGAAAGCCUGACGGAGCAACGCCGCGGGAGUGAUGAAGGUCUUCGGAUCGUAAAACUCUGUUAUUAGGGAAGAACAAAUGUGUAAGUAACUAUGCACGUCUUGACGGUACCUAAUCAGAAAGCCACGGCUAACUACGUGC
RNAcentral lists this ribosomal RNA (498 nucleotides) under uncultured bacterium. RNAcentral describes it as "partial 16S ribosomal RNA". It matches the Rfam family "Bacterial small subunit ribosomal RNA", at positions 28 to 508 of the family's 1533-position model. The record is from RNAcentral.